GCUUGUCUCAAAGAUUAAGCCAUGCAUGUGUAGGUAUAACCUGUAUACCGGUAAACUGCGAAUGGCUCGGUAAAUCAGUUAUAGUUUAUUUGAUAGUGCAUCCUACUCGGAUAACCGUAGUAACACUAGAGCUAAUACGUGCGUAAAUCCCGACUUUUGGAAGGGACGUAUUUAUUAGAUUUAUGGCCAGCCGGGCUUGCCCGACCAGCGGUGAAUCAUGGUAACUUGACGGAUUGCAUGGCCUCCGUGCCGGCGACGUGUCAUUCAAGUUUCUGCCCCAUCAGGUUUCGACUGUAGUGUAUUGGACUACAGUGCCUAUAACGGGUAGCGGAGGAUUAGGGUUCGAUUCCGGAGAGGGAGCCUGAGAAACGGCUACCACAUCCAAGGAAGGCAGCAGG
RNAcentral lists this ribosomal RNA (398 nucleotides) under Cladophora glomerata. RNAcentral describes it as "partial small subunit ribosomal RNA". It matches the Rfam family "Eukaryotic small subunit ribosomal RNA", at positions 30 to 432 of the family's 1831-position model. The record is from RNAcentral. Lineage: Eukaryota; Viridiplantae; Chlorophyta; Ulvophyceae; Cladophorales; Cladophoraceae.